RNAcentral lists this transfer RNA (73 nucleotides) under Stegodyphus mimosarum. It matches the Rfam family "tRNA". From Rfam's summary of the family: Transfer RNA (tRNA) molecules are approximately 80 nucleotides in length. The record is from Rfam by way of RNAcentral. Lineage: Eukaryota; Metazoa; Arthropoda; Arachnida; Araneae; Eresidae.
UCCUUCGUGGUGUAGUGGUCAGUACGCUGGGCGCGUAUUCCAGAGGUCCGUGGUUCGAGUCUCGGCGAAGGCG